GCCUACGGCCAUAUCACGUUGAAUACACCCGAUCUCGUUCGAUCUCGGAAGUUAAGCAACGUCGAGUCCGGUCAGUACUUGGAUGGGAGACCGCCUGGGAACGGCGGAUGACCCCCCGCU
Non-coding RNA from Branchiostoma floridae (Florida lancelet), 120 nucleotides. The record is from Rfam. NCBI's taxonomy places the organism in Eukaryota, Metazoa, Chordata, Leptocardii, Amphioxiformes, Branchiostomatidae.